This 500-nucleotide ribosomal RNA is filed under the name uncultured bacterium. RNAcentral describes it as "partial 16S ribosomal RNA". It matches the Rfam family "Bacterial small subunit ribosomal RNA", at positions 30 to 523 of the family's 1533-position model. The record is from RNAcentral.
AUUGAACGCUGGCGGCAGGCCUAACACGUGCAAGUCGAGCGGAUGAGAGGAGCUUGCUCCUCGAUUCAGCGGCGGACGGGUGAGUAAUGCCUAGGAAUCUGCCUAGUAGUGGGGGACAACGUUUCGAAAGGAACGCUAAUACCGCAUACGUCCUACGGGAGAAAGUGGGGAAUCUUCGGACCUCACGCUAUUAGAUGAGCCUAGGUCGGAUUAGCUAGUUGGUAGGGUAACGGCCUACCAAGGCGACGAUCCGUAACUGGUAUGAGAGGAUGAGGAGUGACACUGGAACUGAGACGCGGUCCAGUCUCCUACGGGAGGCAGCAGUGGGGAAUAGUGGACAAUGGGCGAAAGCCUGAUCCAGCCAUGCCGCGUGUGUGAAGAAUGCCCUCGGGUCGUAAAGCACUUUAAGUUGGGAGGAAGGGCUUACAGCGAAUACCUGUGAGUUUUGACGUUACCGACAGAAUAAGCACCGGCUAACUUCGUGCCAGACGCCGCGGUAA